GACGAACGCUGGCGGCGUGCUUAACACAUGCAAGUCGAACGAAGAGCGAUGGAAGCUUGCUUCUAUCAAUCUUAGUGGCGAACGGGUGAGUAACGCGUAAUCAACCUGCCCUUCAGAGGGGGACAACAGUUGGAAACGACUGCUAAUACCGCAUACGAUCUAACCUUGGCAUCGAGGAUGGAUGAAAGGUGGCCUCUAUUUAUAAGCUAUCACUGAAGGAGGGGAUUGCGUCUGAUUAGCUAGUUGGAGGGGUAACGGCCCACCAAGGCGAUGAUCAGUAGCCGGUCUGAGAGGAUGAACGGCCACAUUGGGACUGAGACACGGCCCAGACUCCUACGGGAGGCAGCAGUGGGGAAUCUUCCGCAAUGGACGAAAGUCUGACGGAGCAACGCCGCGUGAGUGAUGACGGCCUUCGGGUUGUAAAGCUCUGUUAAUCGGGACGAAAGGCCUUCUUGCGAACAGUUAGAAGG
Molecule: ribosomal RNA, 470 nt
Filed under: Veillonella dispar
Lineage: Bacteria; Bacillati; Bacillota; Negativicutes; Veillonellales; Veillonellaceae
Description: bacterial SSU rRNA
Rfam family: Bacterial small subunit ribosomal RNA
Source: RNAcentral